UACGGAGGGUGCAAGCGUUAUCCGGAUUUACUGGGUUUAAAGGGUGUGUAGGCGGGCUGUUAAGUCAGUGGUGAAAUCUCCGGGCUCAACCCGGAAACUGCCAUUGAUACUAAUGGUCUUGAAUUUUGUUGAGGUAGGCGGAAUAAGUCAUGUAGCGGUGAAAUGCUUAGAUAUGAUGUAGAACACCGAUUGCGAAGGCAGCUCACAAAAUCGCAACUGACGCUGAGGCACGAAAGCGUGGGGAGCAAACAGG
Molecule: ribosomal RNA, 253 nt
Filed under: uncultured bacterium
Lineage: Bacteria
Description: partial 16S ribosomal RNA
Rfam family: Bacterial small subunit ribosomal RNA
Source: RNAcentral